RNAcentral lists this ribosomal RNA (474 nucleotides) under uncultured bacterium. RNAcentral's name for it is "partial 16S ribosomal RNA". It matches the Rfam family "Bacterial small subunit ribosomal RNA", at positions 28 to 507 of the family's 1533-position model. The record is from RNAcentral.
GACGAACGCUGGCGGCGUGCCUAAUACAUGCAAGUAGAACGCUGAAGGCGGAGCUUGCUUCUCUGGUUGAGUUGCGAACGGGUGAGUAACGCGUAGGUAACCUGCCUGGUAGCGGGGGAUAACUAUUGGAAACGAUAGCUAAUACCGCAUAAGAGUAGCUGUUGCAUGACAUUUGCUUAAAAGGUGCAAUUGCAUCACUAGCAGAUGGACCUGCGUUGUAUUAGCUAGUUGGUGGGGGAGCGGCUUACCAAGGCGACGAUGGGUAGCCGGACGGGGAGGGUGACAGGACACAUGGGGACUGAGAUACGGCCCAGACUGCGACGGGGGGCAGGAGUGGGGAAUAUUGCGCAAUGGGCGGAAGCCUGAUGCAGCAACGCCGCGUGCGGGAUGACGGCCGUCGGGUUGGAAACCGCUUGCGCCUGUGACGAAGCGGGAGUGACGGUAAUGGGUAAAGAAGCACCGGCUAACUACGUG